GCCGGGGUACUCGAACGGUACAGAGGAUGGCCUCAAACGCCAUUGGGCUUCGGCUCUUGCGGGUUCGAAUCCCGCCCCCGGCA
RNAcentral lists this transfer RNA (83 nucleotides) under Actinomycetota bacterium. RNAcentral's name for it is "tRNA-Leu". It matches the Rfam family "tRNA". Rfam says of the family: Transfer RNA (tRNA) molecules are approximately 80 nucleotides in length. Their secondary structure includes four short double-helical elements and three loops (D, anti-codon, and T loops). Further hydrogen bonds mediate the characteristic L-shaped molecular structure. tRNAs have two regions of fundamental functional importance: the anti-codon, which is responsible for specific mRNA codon recognition, and the 3' end, to which the tRNAs corresponding amino acid is attached (by aminoacyl-tRNA synthetases). tRNAs cope with the degeneracy of the genetic code in two manners: having more than one tRNA (with a specific anti-codon) for a particular amino acid; and 'wobble' base-pairing, i.e. permitting non-standard base-pairing at the 3rd anti-codon position. The record is from RNAcentral. Lineage: Bacteria; Bacillati; Actinomycetota.